Molecule: ribosomal RNA, 521 nt
Filed under: uncultured dictyochophyte
Lineage: Eukaryota; Dictyochophyceae
Description: SSU rRNA
Rfam family: Eukaryotic small subunit ribosomal RNA
Source: RNAcentral
CUGACACAGGGAGGUAGUGACAAAAAAUAACUUAGUCGGGCCGUUUUCGGUCUGACUUUAGGAAUGAGAACAAUUUAAAUCCCUUAUCGAGGAUCAAUUGGAGGGCAAGUCUGGUGCCAGCAGCCGCGGUAAUUCCAGCUCCAAUAGCGUAUAUUAAUGUUGUUGCAGUUAAAAAGCUCGUAGUUGGAUUUCUGGUCGGAACGCCGGUCCGGCUCCGCAAGGGGUCGUGUAUUGGUUUCUCCUGCCAUCCUCAGGGGGAGCUGCACUGGUAUUCAUUUAUCGGUGUGGUUACGCCUGUCGUUUACUGUGAACAAAUUAGAGUGUUCAAAGCAAGGUGUACUUGAAUACAUUAGCAUGGAAUAAUAAGAUAGGACUUUGGUGGUUCUUUUUGAUAUUUUGUUGGUUUGCACGCCAAAGUAAUGAUUAAUAGGAGCAGUUGGGGGUAUUCGUAUUCAAUUGUCAGAGGUGAAAUUCUUGGAUUUAUAGAAGACGAACUACUGCGAAAGCAUUUACCAAGGAUG